RNAcentral lists this transfer RNA (76 nucleotides) under Agapornis roseicollis (peach-faced lovebird). RNAcentral's name for it is "tRNA-Ser". It matches the Rfam family "tRNA". From Rfam's summary of the family: Transfer RNA (tRNA) molecules are approximately 80 nucleotides in length. Their secondary structure includes four short double-helical elements and three loops (D, anti-codon, and T loops). The record is from RNAcentral. Lineage: Eukaryota; Metazoa; Chordata; Aves; Psittaciformes; Psittacidae.
GAGAAAGAAGCAUAAGUGGCUUAGUAUGCGGUUGGCUUGAAACCAGCGUAUGAGGGUUCGAUUCCUUCCUUUCUUG